UUGUAUUGUCUAUUUCAUUGUAUAAUUAUGUAUAUUUAUAUUUAGAUUUAUAUUUAUACGAGCAUUUUGACUAUCAAGCGUUACCAAAUUGUAAUCGGAAAGAUGCUCUUGUUGUGAAACUUAUGCGGAAAACUCUUGGUUACAACACUAUCAAGGAUUGUCUCCAAAAAGUUUGGAAAAUGCAAGGAGGAUUUGAAAUCAUGGAUAAUAAUUUGAAAUCAUGGAUAAUAAUAACGGAUUCUACAUGGUGAAAAUCGACCUAACUGUAGCCAAAGAAAAAAUUAUCACCUGAGGGUCAUGGCUGAUUUUUUAUCACUACUUAGCAGUUUCUCACCGGUCUCCUUAGUUUGCAUCCUCUAAUGCAAAGGUUGACCCCUCAUUACGUUUUCCUAGUCUGAACUUAGUUUAUUAUGAUGAAAGUUUCAUGUUGGCAAUGGCUUCAGCAAUAGGAAGACCAAUUAAAGUAGACACCAAUACUUUGAAAAUUGAAAGAGGUAGAUUUUCUAAAGUCUAUGUCGAAGUAGACUUCAUUGUACUUGUUGUAGGAAAAAUUUGGGUCAAUGGACUCUGGUAUAAGGUCCAAUAUGAAGGCAUCCACCUUAUUUACAUAAAUUGUGGUUGUUAUGGCCCCCUUGGUCGGAAUUGUCCCCUCACCCAAACUGUGUCGGAAGCGGCAACAGAACCCCACAAUAGCCAAAAUUUGCGCCCCAGCCAAAAGUCAAACCUCAGUCAACACCCAAUUAUUCCUCAACAAGAAAAUUGCAGCGAAUCAUCUUAGAGGAGUUUUUAAAAUGAUAGUUGUUGUUAAUAGAUUUUAUAGCAAAGGUCAUGGGAACAUUUGAGGCUUGUUCUAUUUUACUCUUUAGAGAUGUGAUCUCUUCUUGUAACUUAGGACAUGCUUCAAAUGUAUCAAUAUCCUUAGGUUUAGACUUAGGUGUUAUUGAUACAAUUGACUUAGGUGACUCUUUUAUGGAAAUUGCAAAUUGCUUGUUCUAUAGAGAUGCAUACUCC
This 1011-nucleotide long non-coding RNA is filed under the name Medicago truncatula (barrel medic). Its description in RNAcentral is "long non-coding RNA (MTRU_LNC004330)". The record is from RNAcentral. Lineage: Eukaryota; Viridiplantae; Streptophyta; Magnoliopsida; Fabales; Fabaceae.